CNAACACAUGCAAGUCGGAUGUGCCGCAAGGUGCAUGGCAGACGGGUGAGUAACGCGUGGGGAAUCUACCUCUUUGUGGGGAAUAACGCUCCGAAAGGAGUGGUAAUACCGCAUGAGAUCCAUGGCUGGGAUGCUGUGGAUGAAACCUGGGGACCGCAAGGCCUGGGGCAAGGAGAGGAUCCUGCGUCUGAUUAGCUAGUUGGUGAGGUAAUGGCCCACCAAGGCGACGAUCAGUAGCCGGCCUGAGAGGGUGAUCGGCCACACUGGAACUGAGACACGGUCCAGACUCCUACGGGAGGCAGCAGUGGGGAAUUUUGCGCAAUGGGCGAAAGCCUGACGCAGCAACGCCGCGUGGGUGAUGAAGGUCUUCGGAUCGUAAAACCCUGUCGUCGGGGACGAAGGUGGAGGGGUUAAUAGCCUCUUUGCUUGACGGUACCCGGAGAGGAAGCCCCGGCUAACUCUGUGCCAGCAGCCGCGGUAAUACAGAGGGGGCAAGCGUUAUUCGGAAUUAUUGGGCGUAAAGGGCGCGUAGGCGGCUUUUUAAGUGAGAUGUGUAAUCCCUGAGCUCAACUUGGGAACUGCAUCUCAUACUGGGAGGCUAGAGUACUGGAGAGGGUGGUAGAAUUCCACGUGUAGCGGUGAAAUGCGUAGAGAUGUGGAGGAAUACCAGUGGCGAAGGCGGCCACCUGGACAGUAACUGACGCUGAGGCGCGAAAGUGUGGGUAGCAGACAGGAUUAGAUACCCUGGUAGUCCACACUGUAAACGAUGAACACUUGGUGUGGAGGGAGUUGACCCCUUCCGUGCCGUAGCUAACGCGUUAAGU
Molecule: ribosomal RNA, 824 nt
Filed under: uncultured bacterium
Lineage: Bacteria
Description: bacterial SSU rRNA
Rfam family: Bacterial small subunit ribosomal RNA
Source: RNAcentral